This 464-nucleotide ribosomal RNA is filed under the name uncultured bacterium. RNAcentral's name for it is "partial 16S ribosomal RNA". It matches the Rfam family "Bacterial small subunit ribosomal RNA", at positions 28 to 507 of the family's 1533-position model. The record is from RNAcentral.
GACGAACGCUGGCGGCGUGCUUAACACAUGCAAGUCGUACGGUAAGGCCCUUUCGGGGUACCAGAGUGGUGAAACGGUGAGGAACACGGGAGUAAACGGUCCACCACGUUUGGAAAACGCCAGGAAAAGUGUUACUAUUCCUGACAUGGGCUACUUCGUCCCUGGGGGGGUUUGUAAGGCUCGGUGGGUGUGGCUUGACUCGCGGCCUUACAGCAUGUUGGUGGGGGUGUGGGCUACCAAGGCGGCGACGGGGAGCCGGCCUGGGAGGGUGACCGGCCACAGUGGGUCUGAGAUACGGCCCAGACUCCUACGGGAGGCAGCAGUGGGGAAUAUUGCACAAUGUGCGCAAGCCUGAUGCAGCAACGCCGCGUGCGGGAUGACGGCCUUCGGGUUGUAAACCGCUUUCAGCAGGGACGAAGCUUUUUGUGACGGUACCUGCAGAAGAAGCACCGGCUAACUACGUG